GGCUUAUGACAGAGUCUUCUUCGAGACUCUUCUAUUCUCUCUUCCUUCUCUCUACUUUCUCUCUCUAAAUUUCUUCGAUUAUCUGCAUGUUUUCAUGGUAUCAGAGCCGGUACAAUGAUCCGUUGAUGUUAUCGUGUGAAUCAAUAGUUCAUCUGAACUAUUUUUGACAAAAUUUGGAAUUUUUUCUGAGAUCAAAAAGAUCGAUGAUGGUUUCAACCAUGUUAGGGUUCUUCGGUCCAUU
RNAcentral lists this long non-coding RNA (241 nucleotides) under Nicotiana benthamiana. Its description in RNAcentral is "long non-coding RNA (NBEN_LNC035287)". The record is from RNAcentral. Lineage: Eukaryota; Viridiplantae; Streptophyta; Magnoliopsida; Solanales; Solanaceae.